The sequence is a small nuclear RNA, 123 nucleotides long. Its record names the gene U2. It matches the Rfam family "U2 spliceosomal RNA". Rfam says of the family: U2 is a small nuclear RNA (snRNA) component of the spliceosome (involved in pre-mRNA splicing). Complementary binding between U2 snRNA (in an area lying towards the 5' end but 3' to hairpin I) and the branchpoint sequence (BPS) of the intron results the bulging out of an unpaired adenosine, on the BPS, which initiates a nucleophilic attack at the intronic 5' splice site, thus starting the first of two transesterification reactions that mediate splicing. The record is from Ensembl.
AUCGCUUCUCGGCCUUUUGGCUAAGAUCAAGUGUAGUAUUGUUAUAAGUCAAAAUUUAGAAGAGUAAAUCACAUUCAAGCAAAAAGAAGCAAAAAUAGAUCUUGCUUCAUAGAUCUACACAAA